AACAUCCAAAUGUGUGCGACCUGCGCCGGUGAGUGGCGGAGUUUCAUUUCUAACACUUUCUCCUUGUGAUGUGGAGCAUGCGUUAGCCGGUGUUGUUUGGCGAUACAGAGCGUUAUGGCAGGCUGGAGAUACAAUCCGGAAUUAUUAGAAAGCCAGCAAAGUGCACGCACACAGACACAAACAAACCCCCUUGACCCUGGACGUGCGCAGGCACAUUGCUAACCCCUACACCACCAUGGUCGUCACACCACUCUGUGGGAGAUUCUUUUCCAACAUCCAGUGAGCUCUUCCUCUGUUGUUCCUCAUCUCUUCACCUGCUGGCCAUCCAGUGACGGGCCUUAUAGUUUCUUUCUUAAGUAAAAUGAGUAACGCUCCUCUGCUGGACUAUGAGUUUCAGUCUUUGACUCCAGCUUCAGGUUAUGGGGUUACAUCAGGCUUGUCUCUGGCUACAGAUACGGAGCAAAGCACGGCCCUCUGCUUCGUAGGCCUUCUACUACUCUUCCUAGUCUUCCUGUUGGUGCGGUGUUUCCGGAUCCUUCUGGACCCAUACGGUACUGUGCCAGCUUCCUCCUGGAACGAUCACAAAGAUGGACUGCGAACAGUUUGAUUUCACGCUGGUGUAAUAAAUUAAAGGCUAUGAAAUCGAAACCAACCCUUUAUGCUUACAGUAAAUAUAAAUGAAGACCAAAUGCUGAGUGACCUGGAUAUUGAUUCCGGCUGGACACAUGCUUGAGUGAGGUAUGAUUGAAUGGAAGCUCAGAAUUCUUCGAGCAGGCUUUGUUGGGAUUGGUCAGCAAUCAGCAUUUGAAAGUUUUGUAUAUGCAAACAAUAUUCAAAUAAUCACUACUCAAAUUAUAUACAAAUUUAAAGAUGAAUAUUAACACAAACUGCACGACAAUUCGGGUGCAAGGUGGCCAAUUAGAAACAAAGUAAAAGGUGUGGGCGGGUUAACUUUUCACUUCUGUCUACAUUUUUACCACUCAUGAAAUAUUUGUUAUAUAACCAUAAUAGAUUUUUUACCAGUUUUGCAUGGGUGAAUACUGUAUAACUACUGCUGUUUUACAAUGUGGAUUUACAUAACCCAUAGAGUUUUGUUUCUUUUUUUUUACUUAUAAUUGGUGUACUCUAUAUUUGCUGAAUCACAACUUUGAAUCAUUGAUAAGCUGGAAAAUUGUGCCUUCCUAUCUGUAAAAGCUUUAUUUUUAUAUAAAUGUAUACUGCAGGGCUUUCCGUCACUUUCCUAAUGUUGUCCAGAAUGGUCUCAUUUCAGCACCUACGCAUUUGGACCAUUAAAAUACAGUGUGCCAGUUCCUCACACUUGUACUAUUUAUAUUUAUAUUGUUUUUUUGUAUGUUCAGGAUACAUAGUUUAUCCAAGCCAUUUUAGUUAUUAACUAUUAUAAAUACUAUAUUUACAUGCAUAUAGUAAUAUGGUCUAUAUAGAAUAUAGACCAUAUGGACAGAAGUAUUCGGCCAAACCUGCAUACAUUGUAUCCGAAUACAUAUACUUCAAUAUGGAGUUGGACCCCAUUUUGCAGCUUCCAUUCUUCUUGGAAGGCUGUCCACAAGAUUUUGGAGUGUUUCUGCGGGAACAGAGUGCGACAGCUAGUUUAUUCUAGAAAAGUA
This is a long non-coding RNA of Clarias gariepinus (North African catfish), 1625 nucleotides long. RefSeq lists it as uncharacterized. The record is from RefSeq and is a predicted model, not a curated record. NCBI's taxonomy places the organism in Eukaryota, Metazoa, Chordata, Actinopteri, Siluriformes, Clariidae. The transcript has 3 exons.